Molecule: long non-coding RNA, 6007 nt
Organism: Cydia fagiglandana
Lineage: Eukaryota; Metazoa; Arthropoda; Insecta; Lepidoptera; Tortricidae
Exons: 2
Source: RefSeq, a predicted model, not a curated record
CCGCCCGCCGCCGCCGCCGCCUUGUCCGCCGCGCUCGCCGUCGCCGCCACCGCUUGCGCGACCCGAGUCAGAUAGAGAUUACACUCGACUUUAAGCCAGGACGCAUCGUAACACGGACUGACAUUCUACAGAUUUGUAUGUAUAUAUACCGAUAUUUGUUACUAUAAUAUCCUGUAAUUAUGUAGCCACUUGACCGUCCGACGAUAGCAUAGUAUCCGAAAAAAAUAUGCUCUUAACCGUCCGCGGGAACCUUACUAUCCAAAGGGGUGGAAGAAAGAAUUGAUUUCAGAGCCAUCUAACGGAAUAUUUCGGCAUUAUUUACUAAUUCUCUCGAUGCGACAACGUAGCCUAACUAAAUAGUUAGCUCCAAAAAAAUUUAGAUGGCAGUGUACUUAUAAUUUUUGUAGAAAGUUGUGAAUGCGCUGCGCGGGGCGUGCGUCGCUAAAAAACCCGGACGGUUGACAGGAAAACAGUCUCGCGGGCCGGACGGUUGAGUGGGUAGACAAAUAUAAAACACGUAAUUUUACCAGAAAUAUGAACUUUUUAACGCAUUCACUGCCAGGGGGCGUGGCCUAGGAACAAACUUGUAUGACGGUGGACGCACAUGUGCGUCCGGCAGUGAAUGUGUUAAAGAUACAUGGCGUUAUUCAACAGAUACUCGGUAUUUGGCCGAAUAGUAGGUACAUUCGGCCGAAUGCCGAAUAUUCGGCAAAGUGGCCGAAUACCGAAUAGUUGCCGAGUAUCCGUGGCAUCUCUAACCGAAAUAGUCCGUACUUGCCAUUUCUAACUGUAACCAAAGUUGUACGACUGAUUCUAUGAUACUCAAAGCUUGUGGUCCGACGUGAAAACCUACAUGUUUAUACAAUAUAGGUCACUAGAUAAGUUUUGCAAUGGACAAAUUGUCGGGUGACAAGCAAAAGUCACUAAGUACUGUCAAAAAAUUAAAGUAACAAUGCACGUUAUUACACUUGUAACACGGUUUAUUGUCCAAUAAUUUCAAUGAUGUUAGUUAGUGACUUUUGCUUGUCACCCGACGACAUAUACUUUAUAGAACUAUAUUUCCAUAAACAUCGUUUGGCGGGAAAACAUUUACUUAUAAAAAAAAUAGAUUGAGGCUUUUAAAAUACCGGCGUCGGCUACAGUUCGUUUUUUUAGCAUUAGAAACGCGAUUUUGACGUAUCUUUUAAUUCAAAAACGUUUUUAAAAUCAGUAACAAUUACAUAUGAAAGCAAAAUAAUGUAAAUAAUCGUAUAUGAUCCAACUUUUUCAAUAAGUAGAUUAAAAAAUAAGUAAAUGUUAUUCCGCACAAUAUUGUCCAUGGAAAUAAGUAUAUGUCAUAGGCCACUUGUUUGUAUGGAAGUAUAUUGCAAAACUUAUCUGUUGACCUAUGUAACUAAGUAUGUAUUUGUCAAUGAAAAUGUAAAAUUUAUAUUAGACGUCUUUUAAUAUUCUUAAAUGUAGCAAUAAUCUAAAUAUCAUUGAAUUGGCAAUCUUGGAGAGAGACGUGUAUAUAUUGUUAUAUUAUAGUUCUAGAUUUUUAAAUUUAGCGGGGAACUAAAUAGAAAUUUGAGUGAACAAGACACAGUAUUCCCAUUUGUCCCCGCUCCACGUGACCGCCGCCAUACAUGAGGCGGGGACUGAUGGGAACGGUUUAUGAAGCGCCUAUUCCUGUGCCCGGCGGGGACAAGUGGGAACACAACACACACAGGUAAGAAUGCUAUGGAGAUAAUUAUAAAAAGAUGUGAAAUAUUUUAAGUGGCAGAGAUAAAUAGAGUUAGACCAAAAGUCUGCAAUGAUUUUGAUAGACCACGCAGUGCAAGUGUUAUUUAAAACGUCAAACUUCUAUGAAAUUAUGAGGUAUAAAUAACACUUGCACUGCGUGGGCUAUCAAAAUCGCUGCAGACUUGUCUUGGUUUAACUCUACUAAGAUUUGGAGGUGUAAAAGAUCUCCAAGCGUCAAUAUGAAUUCAUAUGAAAUGUUUCUCGACAGGAGAUUGUUAUGUAAACAUUCUAAUAAACUAUACUUUGUAUUUUUAGGUAUUUAAAUAAACAAAAUCUACCCGCAAAUGGCUCCUUAAGCCAGUUGAGGGUAGAUGAAAACAUUAUAUGAUCAAAUAAUGUAGGUUAAAGUCAGGUCGUUCAGUGACACAUCCAGGCGCUUUGUAUUUGGUUGGUUAACCAAUAAAUGUUAUAACUACCCGAAAAUUUACAAAUUGUUUGUUUACUUUUAUUUAAAUAUCUAUAGAUGCAGACUGUAUCUAGUGCUAUAGAAUACAUAGGUAACUAAUAUGUAUCCAAUAUGUCAAUAUUUUAUAAUAUAGCAGAGGUGUAUAAUCAUAUACAUAGGUUGCCUUUCCACUGAGCCGGAGUGGACUAGACGUGCGGCAAUCAACCAAUUCUCCCAUCUCCGCUCAUUCCUGCUUCAGUGGUAAGGCAGCCUUAUAUUGUUCAUAACACUUAGCAAAACCGUGUUAAAUGUUGUCUCUUUCUAACAAACAUAAAUUUCAAAAUGAUAGAGUUACCAAGUUAAGUUGGCAGCGUUUUUGAUAGCCCAGACAGUGCAAGUGUUAUUUCAAACUUCUAUGAAAUUAUGACGUUUAAAUAACACGCAGUCUGUGCUAUAAAAAUCGUUGCCGACUUAGCUUGGUCUAACUCCUUUAUUAUGAGAGGCAUAUUAAUGCCAAUAAUCUCCAUGGGUUAAUACAUUAAGUUUAGAGAUAUAAAAGAUCCCCAAGUGAAUUAAAUUGUAAUAUUCGAUCAAGUUGGGAACGUGAGUGUAAUAUUUUUGUCUGAAAUCAAAUUACUUACGCUAGUUAUUAAAAGUGUGUUCCCAUUUAUCCCCGCUGGGCACAGAUGGGAACAGGUGCAUAUAUUGAAGCAUUCCCAUCUGUCCCCGCCUCAUGUAUGGCGGCGGUCACGUGGGGCGGGGACAAAUGGGAAAACACCAUUUGAAGUGUGAGAGAAUUCCUUUUUGUCACCGCCUCAUGAACCUAUGCGGAAAUAAUUUAUACAUAUAUAUAUAUGUAUUUUAAUAAGGAAAGUGGUGAAUUUUGGUUGUUACCCGCAGAUGUUAGCUAUACUCUGUAUCUUUAGGAAUUUGAAUAAAAGUAAACAAAAUCUACCCUCAAAUGGCUCCUUAAGCCAGUUGAGGGUAGAUGAAAACAUUACACGAUCAAAUAAUGUAGAUUAAAGUCAGGUCGUUCAGUGACAGAUCCAGGCGGUUUUGUAUUUGGUUGGUUAACCAAUGUUAUAAUUACCCGAAAAUUUACAAAUUGUUUGUUUACUUUUAUUUAAAUACCUAAAGACACAGACUAUAGUGUAGGUUAGGACUCAAGUCCAGUGAGUCCUCUGUUUUUGACUCGAGUUUUUCAGACUCAUAUAGGUAAUUCAGUCGAAACUCAGAUGUUUUUUAAGCUCUUUAAAUUGAGACUCGACUCGAGAAACUCGAGUUCCUACAAACACUAUAGUUCAUUUUUUUUGCAUUAGAAAGAACUUGCAAGAAGGUAAGCGAUCUUGACAUGUCUUUUAAUUUAAUAACGCUUUAUAAAAAUCAAUAACUAUUACUUAUGAAAGCAGAAGAAUAUAAAUGAUCGUAUUAGCUUCAUAAUUGUUACGUAUUUGCCGUAACUUAUUUUUAAAAUGUGUUUUUCAAUUAAAAGACACAUCAAGAUUGUUUACCUUAUUUCUAAUGCUAAAAAAAAAGAACUAUAGUUGUCACAACAUGUUAGCUAAAGUUAUUCUGAACCCUUAGUUAUUCUUAAAAUAAAUCGCUUUAUUAUUGCCAUAUCCUUAAACAUCACGUAGACUGUUUAUUUCAUAGUUUUAGAAAAGACAUUUAUACUUUAAUAUGUCUAUGUACAUUUACCAUUAAAGGCCUGUGCACACUGGACGCGUGUGCGCAGACGUGCACGUGCGCAUUGUAAUAUACAGACCCUUAUGAAUGAAUGAAUGAAUGAAAAUCUUUAUUUCAGGCAACUAGUGGCCCAUACAUAAAUACCUUAAAACUAGCAUACAUAUUAUAAAAAUAUAUUUUAAAACUAAACACUACAAAUCACACACCGCCACAGAAUAAAUAAUAGUACUAGGUACAGAAGACUCUCUAACAAAACGCGUCUGUCACGAUCAGCACAGAUAUGGCCGCUAGGUGGCGACAGCGCCACGCGCGGCUUAUGGCAAACCCCAAAAUUGGGGUCGAACGGAUGGACUUUUAGCUACCUGUAGCAAAGCGCCGAAAUCGCGGAGUGAGCCACGCCUGACACCGCUUGCUAAUAUGUCAGCUAAGAGAAUAGAGUGUAUAGAGGCGGAUUGUCAAAGUAAAUUAUGUAGACAAUGUUUUACUACCAUUUUUCGACAGAAUAUUAACACUGUUAGAACGCCAUUUGACUUUGAUCCUUUAUUAUUUCACUGAUAUGUGUUAACUUGUUAAAUAUUAAUAUUAACGCCAUCUACUCGACUAUAGGCCAAAGGUAUGGUGCAAUGUUUUCGAGCGAUGGCGCCAUAAUCUUCAUAAACUACGAAACAGGUAAAAAACUGCAGAAUGCGCACCUGAAGAACCGAAAUGUAGGUAUAGUUCCGCUGGCCGAUAAUUCGGCGGCCGGAUACCGAAUAUUCGGCCUGAACUUCGGCCUUUUCAGGCCGAAUAUUCGGUAUCCGGCCAAACAACUAUCCGUUGAAUCUCUAGUUCUAACAUUUUAGCGCACGUGCACGUCUGCGCACACGCAGCCGGUGUGCUCCGGCCUUUAUUUGUACAUAAAGCAUUCCUCAUUUGUGACUGAUUUGGUAAAUAUGUAGCCAUAUGCCUAGUCAAGAGCCAUUUCCCUCUUAAUGGUUAAAUAUUUAAAAUUAUAUAAUAUAAUUCAGAGGUUACAUUUGAUAAAUUAAUAUUAGGGGACAUCCAUUGACUACAUCACACAAUUUUUUUAGACCCCUACUCCCCCUUGUCACACUUUUUCAUAGCCUUCUAAGGCCCAAGGUCCUACCUGUAGUAUUUCUUCAGUUCGAUGAAAUUUAAACCAUAUUUAAUUGGAAUAGAGUUAUAUGUAUAUUGUUUCGUAAAAUUUUCAAACAAUUAAUUAAUUGCCUUAACAUUGUCAACCUUCAAGGUGUCACAUGCGGGUUGACGACCUUUUAAAAACCUAAAAUGCUAUCUGAUUUUGGAGAAACGUGUUUAGUUUUUGAGAAAUGUAACUUCUAUUUUGUAUUAUAUUGUGAUUUUUUUAACAUAUCUUUAGUUAAUAUGAAUUUUGAGUAAUUUAAGUUACAUUAGCAGCUGUGCAGCUUUUGGUCGUUAUAUGGGGCAUUAUCUAUAUAAGCACCAUCGACAAUAAGGUCUCUUUUCAUAGAUAACGCCACAUAUUAUUAAUUGUCAACGAAAUUGCACGUAGUAUUAAAAAAUAUUUCAUUUCGAUAUCACUUAGUACCUUUAAUUACAUAUCCUUUUAAAUUUGACUGAGAUGUAAUUAUUUUGUAAGUAAUUAUAAUGAUAAAUUCAAAAAUUGUUUUUCUUUAUUGUUAUGUGAGAAACAGCAAUAAUAUUUUAGUUUUAUAGAGAAAUAUUUAAUUAUCAUUUUUUAUUUAUUAUAGAGAAAGUGAGUGAAGUGUUGAAUGACAAUAUUUAUAUAAUUAUAUAUAAGCUUCGACAUUACAGAAGUCAUCGGAUAUUUUAAAGGCCUGUGCACACCGGAUGCGUGCGCGUAGACGUGCUCGAGCGUGUUGUAAUAUACAAAUCCUUAUGAGAGACGGCACACCGCUUGCGUGACGUAUGCGUGCACGGCUCCAAAAUUUUAGUGCACGUGCACAUCUUCGCACUCCCAGCCGAUGUGCACUAGCCUUAAAAAAAGAGAUUUGUUACUUUUUCAUAAGUUAUGUGAAGUCUAAUCGAAAAUUAUAUUUUUAUAUAGAUAUUGUCGUCUGAAAUGUUAGAGAGAUGUAGUAUGGACUGAUACAUGUGUGGAUAUCGCUAUUUGUAAAUAUAUCUAAGUUAAUUAAAAUUGUCUUUGCAACAUAA